This 354-nucleotide ribosomal RNA is filed under the name uncultured bacterium. RNAcentral describes it as "bacterial SSU rRNA". It matches the Rfam family "Bacterial small subunit ribosomal RNA", at positions 28 to 383 of the family's 1533-position model. The record is from RNAcentral.
GACGAACGCCGGCGGCGUGCUUAACACAUGCAAGUCGAGCGGUAAGGCCCCUUCGGGGGUACACGAGCGGCGAACGGGUGAGUAACACGUGGGUGACCUGCCCUCAGCUCUGGGAUAAGCCUGGGAAACUGGGUCUAAUACCGGAUAUGACUCCAUGACGCAUGUCGUGGGGUGGAAAGCCUUGUGCGGCUGGGGAUGGGCCCGCGGCCUAUCAGCUUGUUGGUGGGGUGAUGGCCUACCAAGGCUUCGACGGGUAGCUGGUCUGAGAGGACGAUCAGCCACACUGGCACUGCGACACGGGCCAGACUCCUACGGGAGGCAGCAGUAAGGAAUAUUGCGCAAUGGGCGAAAGCC